This 75-nucleotide transfer RNA is filed under the name bacterium. RNAcentral describes it as "tRNA-Asp". It matches the Rfam family "tRNA". From Rfam's summary of the family: Transfer RNA (tRNA) molecules are approximately 80 nucleotides in length. Their secondary structure includes four short double-helical elements and three loops (D, anti-codon, and T loops). Further hydrogen bonds mediate the characteristic L-shaped molecular structure. tRNAs have two regions of fundamental functional importance: the anti-codon, which is responsible for specific mRNA codon recognition, and the 3' end, to which the tRNAs corresponding amino acid is attached (by aminoacyl-tRNA synthetases). tRNAs cope with the degeneracy of the genetic code in two manners: having more than one tRNA (with a specific anti-codon) for a particular amino acid; and 'wobble' base-pairing, i.e. permitting non-standard base-pairing at the 3rd anti-codon position. RNAcentral also lists the same sequence under 1 other name. The record is from RNAcentral.
GGGGGCGUAGUUCAAUCUGGUUAGAGCACUGCCCUGUCACGGCAGAAGUUGCGGGUUCGAGUCCCGUCGUCCCCG